RNAcentral lists this ribosomal RNA (435 nucleotides) under uncultured soil bacterium. Its description in RNAcentral is "bacterial SSU rRNA". It matches the Rfam family "Bacterial small subunit ribosomal RNA", at positions 958 to 1393 of the family's 1533-position model. The record is from RNAcentral.
AACGCGAAGAACCUUACCUGGUCUUGACAUCCCAGGAGUCCUGCAGAGAUGCGGGAGUGCCUUCGGGAACCUGGAGACAGGUGCUGCAUGGCUGUCGUCAGCUCGUGUCGUGAGAUGUUGGGUUAAGUCCCGCAACGAGCGCAACCCUUGUCCUUAGUUGCCAGCACUUCGGGUGGGCACUCUAAGGAGACCGCCGGUGACAAACCGGAGGAAGGUGGGGAUGACGUCAAGUCAUCAUGGCCUUUAUGGCCAGGGCUACACACGUGCUACAAUGGCUGGUACAGAGGGCUGCCAACCCGCGAGAGGGAGCCAAUCCCAAAAAGCCAGUCGUAGUCCGGAUCGGAGUCUGCAACUCGACUCCGUGAAGUCGGAAUCGCUAGUAAUCGCGAAUCAGCAUUGUCGCGGUAAAUACGUUCCCGGGUCUUGUACACACGC